RNAcentral lists this ribosomal RNA (161 nucleotides) under Nicotiana tomentosiformis. RNAcentral describes it as "5.8S ribosomal RNA". The stretch from base 1 to 139 matches the Rfam family "5.8S ribosomal RNA", at positions 18 to 154 of the family's 154-position model. Rfam says of the family: 5.8S ribosomal RNA (5.8S rRNA) is a component of the large subunit of the eukaryotic ribosome. It is transcribed by RNA polymerase I as part of the 45S precursor that also contains 18S and 28S rRNA. The record is from RNAcentral. Lineage: Eukaryota; Viridiplantae; Streptophyta; Magnoliopsida; Solanales; Solanaceae.
AUCUCGGCUCUCGCAUCGAUGAAGAACGUAGCGAAAUGCGAUACUUGGUGUGAAUUGCAGAAUCCCGUGAACCAUCGAGUCUUUGAACGCAAGUUGCGCCCGAAGCCAUUAGGCCGAGGGCACGUCUGCCUGGGCGUCACGCAUCGCGUCGCCCCCGCACU